AUUCCAGCUCCAAUAGCGUAUAUUUAAGUUGUUGCAGUUAAAAAGCUCGUAGUUGGAUUUCGGGUGGGCUGCGCCGGUCUCCUAACGGUUGUACUGGCGACGCCUGCCUUGCUGCCGGGGACGGGCUCCUGCCUUUACUGUCGGGACCCGGAAUCGGCGACGUUACUUUGAGUAAAUUAGAGUGUUCAAAGCAAGCCUACGCUCUGAAUAUAAUAGCAUGGGAUAACACGACAGGACUCUGGCCUAUCGUGUUGGUCUGUAGGACCAGAGUAAUGAUUAAGAGGGACAGUCGGGGGCAUUCGUAUUCCGUUGUCUGAGGUGAAAUUCUUGGAUUUACGGAAGACGAACGUCUGCGAAAGCAUUUGCCAAGGAUGUUUUCAUCA
RNAcentral lists this ribosomal RNA (383 nucleotides) under Dilabifilum sp. Its description in RNAcentral is "partial small subunit ribosomal RNA". It matches the Rfam family "Eukaryotic small subunit ribosomal RNA", at positions 582 to 975 of the family's 1831-position model. The record is from RNAcentral. Lineage: Eukaryota; Viridiplantae; Chlorophyta; Chlorophyceae; Chaetophorales; Chaetophoraceae.